ACCCGCUGAACUUAAGCAUAUCAAUAAGCGGAGGAAAAGAAACCAACAGGGAUUGCUCUAGUAACGGCGAGUGAAGCAGCAAUAGCUCAAAUUUGAAAUCUGGCGUCUUCGACGUCCGAGUUGUAAUUUGUAGAGGAUGCUUCUGAGUGGCCACCGACCUAAGUUCCUUGGAACAGGACGUCAUAGAGGGUGAGAAUCCCGUAUGCGGUCGGAAAGGCGCUCUAUACGUAGCUCCUUCGACGAGUCGAGUUGUUUGGGAAUGCAGCUCUAAAUGGGAGGUAAAUUUCUUCUAAAGCUAAAUAUUGGCCAGAGACCGAUAGCGCACAAGUAGAGUGAUCGAAAGAUGAAAAGCACUUUGGAAAGAGAGUUAAAAAGCACGUGAAAUUGUUAAAAGGGAAGGGAUUGCAGCCAGACUUGCUCGCGGUGUUCCGCCGGUCUUCUGACCGGUCUACUCGCCGCGUUGCAGGCCAGCAUCGUCUGGUGCCGCUGGAUAAGACUUGAGGAAUGUAGCUCCCUCGGGAGUGUUAUAGCCUCUUGUGAUGCAGCGAGCGCCGGGCGAGGUCCGCGCUUCGGCUAGGAUGCUGGCGUAAUGGUCGUAAUCCGCCCGUCUUGAAACACGGACCAAGGAGUCUAACAUCUAUGCGAGUGUUCGGGUGUCAAACCCCUACGCGUAAUGAAAGUGAACGGAGGUGAGAACCGCAAGGUGCAUCAUCGACCGAUCCUGAUGUCUUCGGAUGGAUUUGAGUAAGAGCAUAGCUGUUGGGACCCGAAAGAUGGUGAACUAUGCCUGAAUAGGGUGAAGCCAGAGGAAACUCUGGUGGAGGCUCGCAGCGGUUCUGACGUGCAAAUCGAUCGUCAAAUUUGGGUAUAGGGGCGAAAGACUAAUCGAACCAUCUAGUAGCUGGUUCCUGCCGAAGUUUCCCU
Molecule: ribosomal RNA, 924 nt
Filed under: Cladosporium herbarum
Lineage: Eukaryota; Fungi; Ascomycota; Dothideomycetes; Cladosporiales; Cladosporiaceae
Description: LSU rRNA
Rfam family: Eukaryotic large subunit ribosomal RNA
Source: RNAcentral